UGCUAGAUUCAGGAGUGAAGCUGCUCUCUGAUGGACUGAAGGAUCCACACUGUACACUGAAGAAUCUGAGGAUGCGUUACUGCAGUAUUACAGAUGAAGGUUGUGCUGCUCUGGCUUCAGCUCUGACGUCAAACUCCUCAUCACACCUGAGUGAACUGGAUCUGAAAAAUAAUUAUCCAGGAGAAUCAGGAGUGAAGCUGCUCUCUGAUCUACUGAAGGAUCCACACUGUAAACUGGAGACACUACGCAUUAAGGACGAUACACUCACCAGGUCUGGUGUAUGACAGGAGUCUCUCCUCAGACCUUUUUCCAGGAUAAAUCAGUUAUUGUGGUGAAACAUUAGAACACGUCCCACAUUUCCAGCAGUUUUGGAGCUGAAUCAUUCAUAUUCAGAUGUAGAAGAUCCAUAACAAUAACUGUGACUGAUCACAUUAGGGCUGAAAAGAUUCCUCGAGUAAUUCAAGUAACUCGAUUACAAAGAUGAUUUGAGGCAAAUUCAUCUGCCUCGAAGCCUCUUAAUUCAUUUUAAAGCUCACAUGACAUUCUUGGGCUGCAAAAUGAAAGGGCGCGAUAACAAUGGCAAUGAGCAAAGAGAAGGAACAAACAGAAAAUGUCGAAACAUUGCUUCAAAGCACAGGGCAAGCAUCAGUUCUGAGCAUGUUGAUAUGCUUACCUUUCUUCAUUACAAUCACAUUGAAGACUUCACAUCACUUUAAAGACUUCUAAAGCAGGUCCAAGUUCCCGUCCAUGUUUUUUCUCUUUUAAAUACCACAAAGCAUCCCAAGAAGACAGUAAAGACUUAUGUUGUGCCUGAGCUGUAGAUUUUGAAUCUUUUAGUUCUGAAAGUCAAGUUGCAUGACUUGGCAGUAUUUUUGUAUUAUUUAUUUAUUUAUUUAUUUAAAUGUAUGCCUUAGUUUAGAUACUUUAAAAAUCAUUUGAAAGUAAUUUUUUUUUGUUUGUUUGUUUUAGCAUCUCAGAAAUGGGUUCAUUUAAAACCCAGAAUGUUUGCCACUUAAAUGUACUUAAUUCUUCUCAGUCAACUUUGACAUACAAGUACAGACAGAGAAACAAUGGGUAAUAUCUAAAUGUUUAUUUUUGAUAAAAGAUAUUGUUGUAUGAAUACUAUACGUUUAAAUAAUAAAAGUUCAUUUCAGUCAGGA
Tachysurus fulvidraco (yellow catfish) is the source of this 1160-nucleotide long non-coding RNA. RefSeq lists it as uncharacterized. Lineage: Eukaryota; Metazoa; Chordata; Actinopteri; Siluriformes; Bagridae. The record is from RefSeq and is a predicted model, not a curated record. The transcript is spliced from 3 exons.